GGAAAUCUCUCCAGGCCCGGACACUGGAAGGGUUGACAGACUUAUAGCUCUUUCUUGAUUCUGUGGGUGGUGGUGCAUGGCCGUUCUUAGUUGGUUGAGUGAUUUGUCUUGUUAAUUCCGUUAACGAACGAGACCUUAACCUGCUAAAUAGUGACGCGGUUCAUCGAACCGUGGGCCACUUCUUAGAGGGACUAUCGGAUUCAAACCGAUGGAAGUGUGAGGCAAUAA
Molecule: ribosomal RNA, 228 nt
Filed under: uncultured eukaryote
Lineage: Eukaryota
Description: partial 18S ribosomal RNA
Rfam family: Eukaryotic small subunit ribosomal RNA
Source: RNAcentral